RNAcentral lists this non-coding RNA (162 nucleotides) under human gut metagenome. RNAcentral's name for it is "Lysine riboswitch". It matches the Rfam family "Lysine riboswitch aptamer". From Rfam's summary of the family: Riboswitches are metabolite binding domains within certain messenger RNAs that serve as precision sensors for their corresponding targets. Allosteric rearrangement of mRNA structure is mediated by ligand binding, and this results in modulation of gene expression. The record is from RNAcentral.
UGAUAGAGGCGCAAAGCUCAUCAGUAGGCGCGGGCAAGCAAGGCUGGCAAGCCGCUUCCGCCGAAAGGGUGCUUUGCCGAAGUGGCAGACGGGUUGCCAACCGUCUGGUGCUGGGGUCGUGCAGAAUAUGCACGGGACUGUCACUUUUGUGGAGAGCUAUCG